Molecule: non-coding RNA, 23 nt
Filed under: Arabidopsis thaliana (thale cress)
Lineage: Eukaryota; Viridiplantae; Streptophyta; Magnoliopsida; Brassicales; Brassicaceae
Source: RNAcentral
GUAAUCCGCGUCGGUCCACGCCC